CAGAAUCUCGUGCAAGUCGAGCUCUAAACAAUCACGUGCAAUGUAAAACCACGUGAUUUAAACUGCCAUUACAGCAAAUGAAUUGCGACAAGGAGAUGUCUUGACGUCUCAUCGAGCUGCGACGACUCUGUUCCAGGCCGGAGUGGAUUUUGAAGCAAACUGGUCAUCUGAUAACAGUUAAUUGGGAACAAAUGAAGAUGGUCAGCAGCAUUCUCACCAGUAAGAAGCCCAAAACCGAGGAAGUACGAUGAAAAACGGAACACAAGGCUCCAGAAGAUGAUUCAAGUGACCCUGAGGAGAAUGGAAAAGGGGAAGGCGGUCCCGCCGGCUCCAAUUUAUUAACUGCAGUGUGCCGAUAUUGUAAAAAAAUCAUUUUGAAUGGUUCUGUAUUUGUUCAUUUAUAGAAGAUGUUUCCAACAAAAACAUUGAGGUAGAGGCAUAGGUUUGUCAGACCCGAUCUGCCAAGGGAAAAGUUCUUCUCGAGGUGCGAUACCGGGAAUAAGGUGAGACGAAGCCGAGCCUUGUUCCCGGUAUCGCACCGAGAGUUGGUCAGAUAACCGCCCUUGGGGGGUUAUAUGGUAAAACCAACCCCUUGAGAGGUCGUUCACAAAAAUUAAUAACCCCAGAUAUUGACCCGAUAAUCAACCCACAUGGUAUAUCUAUGUAUAACCAGGUUGCCUGGGUAGCAGGUAACUAUAUAUAACCAGGCUGCCUGGGUAGCAGGUAACUAUAUAUAACCAGUGUUCCUGGGCAGCAGGUAACUUUACUGAACAGCAAAAGAAACUUAAGUUUCGAAAAAAUGAAAUUUCAUGAAGGUAAGCGUUCAUGUUUGUGGAACGUUCAUGGUAAAGUGACGUCAUGA
Molecule: long non-coding RNA, 862 nt
Organism: Haliotis rubra (blacklip abalone)
Lineage: Eukaryota; Metazoa; Mollusca; Gastropoda; Lepetellida; Haliotidae
Exons: 3
Source: RefSeq, a predicted model, not a curated record